This 460-nucleotide ribosomal RNA is filed under the name uncultured bacterium. Its description in RNAcentral is "partial 16S ribosomal RNA". It matches the Rfam family "Bacterial small subunit ribosomal RNA", at positions 338 to 795 of the family's 1533-position model. The record is from RNAcentral.
CCUACGGGAGGCAGCAGUGAGGAAUAUUGGUCAAUGGACGAGAGUCUGAACCAGCCAAGUAGCGUGAAGGAUGACUGCCCUAUGGGUUGUAAACUUCUUUUAUAUGGGAAUAAAACGUUCCACGUGUGGGAUUUUGUAUGUACCAUAUGAAUAAGGAUCGGCUAAUUCCGUGCCAGCAGCCGCGGUAAUACGGAGGAUCCGAGCGUUAUCCGGAUUUAUUGGGUUUAAAGGGAGCGUAGGUGGAUUGUUAAGUCAGUUGUGAAAGUUUGCGGCUCAACCGUAAAAUUGCAGUUGAAACUGGCAGUCUUGAGUACAGUAGAGGUAGGCGGAAUUCGUGGUGUAGCGGUGAAAUGCUUAGAUAUCACGAAGAACUCCGAUUGCGAAGGCAGUUCACUGGACUGCAACUGACACUGAGGCUCGAAAGUGUGGGUAUCAAACAGGAUUAGAUACCCGUGUAGUC